This 74-nucleotide transfer RNA is filed under the name Solanum tuberosum (potato). It matches the Rfam family "tRNA". Rfam says of the family: Transfer RNA (tRNA) molecules are approximately 80 nucleotides in length. The record is from Rfam by way of RNAcentral. Lineage: Eukaryota; Viridiplantae; Streptophyta; Magnoliopsida; Solanales; Solanaceae.
GCCGUUUUAGCUCAGUGGUAGAGCGUGUGGCUUUUAACCGCGUGGUCGUGGGUUUUUGAUCCCCACAGAUGGCG